UACAGGGGGUGCAAACGUUGCUCGGAAUUAUUGGGCGUAAAGAGCGUGUAGGCGGCCAGAAAAGUCCGCUGUGAAAACUCGAGGCUCAACUUCGAGCUGUCGGUGGAAACUUUCUGGCUAGAGUCCGGAAGAGGAGAAUGGAAUUCCUGGUGUAGCGGUGAAAUGCGCAGAUAUCAGGAAGAACACCCGUGGCGAAGGCGGUUCUCUGGGACGGUACUGACGCUGAGACGCGAAAGCGUGGGGAGCGAACAGG
Molecule: ribosomal RNA, 253 nt
Filed under: uncultured bacterium
Lineage: Bacteria
Description: partial 16S ribosomal RNA
Rfam family: Bacterial small subunit ribosomal RNA
Source: RNAcentral